GGGAUUGAUGUUUUUGACAAAUUUGGGGGGUCAAAAUGAGAAUAUCUAAAAAGUCCAUUUGAAGACGUCGUGCUACUUUGAAAUUGAUUUCGGGCUUUGCCGCUCAAUCUCCCCUGAAUCUGUUCGUUUACGGCACAUCAAACGCCACUCUCCAUGGGCAGUGCGGCAGGCUAUGAAGACCCGACGAGUGGGAACUAGUAAACGACGAUGGAUUGGUUCACAAGCGCAAGAAGCGCCGCCGCAUGUUCCCCAACGCCACUUCAUCCUCCGGCCAUCCGGAGCUUGAGAAGAAGCACCGUCGUGAAUGGAAAAAGAGGGCUCUUCUGAAGCUGCGGGAAAAGUAUUUAAAAGAGAUUAGCCGGUGGGAACUUUUGUCGAACACCUUGAAGAAAGUGGAGAAGAAUGCACAGACGCGAUUGCUGAAGCUGUAUCCCACAACGUUCUCUGAAGCAGCUUCGAGUUCAGAGCAGAAUUCCACCUGCCGGAGAAUCGUUGACGAUCUCUUCUCUCAGGCUGAUGGGCAGGAGGCUAUAAUUCGGGCUGCCUUGAGUUUAUGUGAUGCAGCUGAAGCAUUGUGCAGUGCGCACGAGGAAAGAUUGAAGCAACAGCUCACCAACCUACCAAUUUGGGGACCUUCGCCACAUGAGCUCAUGGCUGCAUUUGGAGAAGAAUAGGCUUCUUUCAGGAAUACGUAGUACAAUUCUGAUUGAAGAAGGAGCAUUAGGAGAAACUGCGUUACGAUCUGGCUAGCAACUAAUCCUUGGGGUGCACAGAGAUUACCACCAGUAUUGUUGUGGCUGAGUCUGAUAUGUACAUCCGCAGAUUAUGGGGUUUUCCUAAUGAGGUGUGUGCACUUCCUAAGUUGUUAUAUGAUAUUCUUGCCUUAACUUUCAUUUGCUUGCAACACUAGGCCAGGAAAAGAUUAAGCACUCGGCUUUGCUAGUACAUUCAUAGUAUCUGUCUAAUACAAGUGGCAUAGACAAGUUUUAUGAGGUCUUCAAGCUUGAACUCUACGUGAUUGAUAUUGCUGAGAAGGAAGUUCAUGUACAUGCAUUCCUCUUUAAAUGGUCUUAAGUCUGAAGGGUUGCAGAGUUCCUGUGAUUGUUCUCUCUAACUUUGUCUUUCCAAUGUAACUAUGUACCAAUUUUCUGUCAGUUUCAUUAAUAGAUUGGGCAUUGCACGUCGUAAUUGUUAAACCAAAACAUCUUUUCACCUUAUCAGUAUGACAACACUGAUGCUACCAUAAAGAAGGUAACGACUGAACUUCUCUGUUUCCUCCCUUCCAAGUAGGUAUUUAUUUUUGCUACUCCGUUAGUAUGCUUUGUAAUUGCUUGACAAAAUUGUACCAUUGGCAGAGAACUUUACAAUUAGAUUUGUUUCACCACGAGGUUGGACAAGUGUGCUGGAUGAAUUUGUAUGAUUGAAACGGGCUAUCCAUGCGAGUGUCUGGAAGCAAACUAAAUGGUGACUAUAAUGAAAAAUUAUCUAUGAGUAACUCCAUCCACCACCUAUUUGUGAUGGAAAACAUAGAAUGUAUUGCUCUUCUUGCUAGCUGGUACGACAAGCGUUUUUUGCACCCAAACAUCAUCUUAUCCUAUGAUCAUACAUUUAUCUGGGAUGAAGACUUAGGGUCAAGAAUUUUGAUGCGGGGGAGCAAGUAGAAACAGCUUGUAUCUUGCUUGUCAAGGUGUUCAGGUGAUACCCUUCACGUGAACAAGCAUGAUCAUACAUUUCACUGCCUGGUUUAUCCCCAGCUAGAGGAAUGAUGAGAAAGGCGAGAGGAAACAGAAGUUCACAGGAACACAGAGGAAAGACCAGGCUGGUGUACAGAUACUCAUUUGCGAACCUGCGCAGCAUGUAUAGAUGGGUUGAUCGCAUGAUUAUGUAUAUGUGUUUUUCUAAGUAUGAAGAAUUUUUUGGGCUGCUUUUGACAAAGAUGAAAUAAGACCAAAGGAAGUGUUUACGUCAAGUGAACGGCUUUCAUUGCCUAGAAGUGAAAACUGACCUCAACAAGCAUCGCAAGAGCAAAAUCAAGCCCCCACCCAUGGACCAAGUCAUUCUGCAGCAAUAUUACUAAUAGUUAAGAUUCACUACCAACAUGCAGGUCUGAGUUUCAAAGUAACAACAUUUCUCCCCUAGCCGUUUCUUGGACAUUCUUUGUGUUCUUUCCUUUUCUUUUCUCUGCUACCAACUAGAAAAUUAGGGAAACGUAUCAGUGCCUGAAUCAUAUGCCAGACAGAGCGCCAUGCGUCACGGGAAAACACUGGGGGCCAUGAUCUCCACGAAUAGGUAUAUCCAAACUAAGUGUAAGGCCAGUUUGGUUUUAUUUUAAUUUUCCAAUUAUUUUCAGUUUUGUAUAUGUUUUCAUGUGAAAAUAAA
This is an RNA transcript of Sesamum indicum (sesame), 2379 nucleotides long. RefSeq lists it as uncharacterized. The record is from RefSeq and is a predicted model, not a curated record. Lineage: Eukaryota; Viridiplantae; Streptophyta; Magnoliopsida; Lamiales; Pedaliaceae.